This 486-nucleotide ribosomal RNA is filed under the name uncultured bacterium. Its description in RNAcentral is "partial 16S ribosomal RNA". It matches the Rfam family "Bacterial small subunit ribosomal RNA", at positions 30 to 507 of the family's 1533-position model. The record is from RNAcentral.
AUUGAACGCUGGCGGCAUGCCUUACACAUGCAAGUCGAACGGCAGCACGGGUGCUUGCACCUGGUGGCGAGUGGCGAACGGGUGAGUAAUACAUCGGAACAUGUCCUGUAGUGGGGGAUAGCCCGGCGAAAGCCGGAUUAAUACCGCAUACGAUCUACGGAUGAAAGCGGGGGACCUUCGGGCCUCGCGCUAUAGGGUUGGCCGAUGGCUGAUUAGCUAGUUGGGGGGGUAAAGGCCUACCAAGGCGACGAUCAGUAGCUGGUCUGAGAGGACGACCAGCCACACUGGGACUGAGACACGGCCCAGACUCCUACGGGAGGCAGCAGUGGGGAAUUUUGGACAAUGGGCGAAAGCCUGAUCCAGCAAUGCCGCGUGUGUGAAGAAGGCCUUCGGGUUGUAAAGCACUUUUGUCCGGAAAGAAAUCCUUGGCUCUAAUACAGUCGGGGGAUGACGGUACCGGAAGAAUAAGCACCGGCUAACUACGUG